This 343-nucleotide long non-coding RNA is filed under the name Elaeis guineensis (African oil palm). RNAcentral describes it as "long non-coding RNA (EGUI_LNC005827)". Lineage: Eukaryota; Viridiplantae; Streptophyta; Magnoliopsida; Arecales; Arecaceae. The record is from RNAcentral.
CUGUGGAGUUUGCCAGUUUGUUUAAGAUUAUAUUUUAGAAACUACUUGAUAAGUACUUAAGAAUAUUUUGAGCAAAUCGAUCAUCAAAUUUUCAUAUGAAAUAUAAACUUGGGUAAUUCGAUGCUCUCUUAUCUUAGAAUUUGGGGUGUCGGACUUAUGUGAAACGUUUACAAAUCGGCUAGCUUGGAUCUUGAUCUGAUAAAUAUUAUAUUAGAGAUAUUUCUUCUACCUUCCUGAUGGAUAUGAAAUGUUCAUGAAUCUUAAGGCAUUCUUUUUAGAAAAAAAAUUUCUUGAUGAAGAAACUGAUGCCGUUAAGAGCAAGCUUGGUAAAGCUUGAUAAGUA